AUCUGUGAUGCUUGUGGUGGAUCCGUGAGAGUUGGCAACUAUGCUCUAUAUAUACAUGUAUUGUAAUUUAUAUAUUCUUUACCAUUUAUUGAGUCAUCGGCUGUUCCAAUGUACAUGUUUAUCGGUUGAAAUCAGUUUACUACAGUUCUACUUCUCUCUAUUUUUAUCUGUAGGUUUUAUGGUACAACGGGGUCAUGCGGGGCUGGUAUCUAUAUUGCACAAAAAU
Paramuricea clavata is the source of this 226-nucleotide non-coding RNA. Lineage: Eukaryota; Metazoa; Cnidaria; Anthozoa; Malacalcyonacea; Plexauridae. The record is from the annotation of a GenBank genome assembly.